UGAGCAAUCUGCCCUUCUCAUCGGAAUAAGCGUUGGAAACGACGUCUAAUGCCGAAUACGACCUCCUUUCGCAUGAUCGGAGGUGGAAAGCUCCGGCGGAGAAGGAUGAGCUCGCGGCCUAUCAGCUAGUUGGUGUGGGUAAUGGCCCACAAGGCGACGACGGGUAGCCGGCCUGAGAGGGUGACCGGCCACACGUGGGACUGAGACACGGCCCAGACUCCGUACGGGAGCAG
Molecule: ribosomal RNA, 233 nt
Filed under: uncultured bacterium
Lineage: Bacteria
Description: partial 16S ribosomal RNA
Rfam family: Bacterial small subunit ribosomal RNA
Source: RNAcentral